GCACUUUGCGUGCAAAGAUUCUCCGCGUAAGGCGAUGACGACGCAGGAAGCCGGUGAGAAUCCGGCGCGGUCCCGCCACUGUCACCGGGUAGCGACCCUCAAAUGCCACGGCCACGGGCUGGAAGGCGAGGCGAGCAACGACCCGGGAGCCAGGAGACUCGCGUCAUCGCAUCCUGCUCA
This 180-nucleotide non-coding RNA is filed under the name Mycobacterium sp. Lineage: Bacteria; Bacillati; Actinomycetota; Actinomycetes; Mycobacteriales; Mycobacteriaceae. The record is from RNAcentral.